This 3327-nucleotide long non-coding RNA is filed under the name Canis lupus familiaris (dog). Its description in RNAcentral is "lncRNA (ENSCAFG00000052023.1, ENSCAFG00845011468.1)". The record is from RNAcentral. Lineage: Eukaryota; Metazoa; Chordata; Mammalia; Carnivora; Canidae.
UUUUUUUUUUUCUUCAAUUAACUGUGAACGUUUUAGACAGAGUAAGCAUUCUCCUGUUUGCCUGCUCAUCCCUCUUGUCUUGGUCAUGAUCACACAUUUGUGUUACCUGGUUUGGUCCUGUAGCCAUGUGAGUUUAUGACUCAUGACCUCCUCAGAUCAUCUCACCUGUGUCUCUUGUGUAGAAGUUACACACUGAGUGCUUUAUAAACAUCUCAUAAGCUCAUGGAAGGCAAAAAUACUGCGUUUUCCACAUAGAUGCAUUUGCCACGGACAGGGAUUCUGUUGGUCCAGCUUUACGUAUUUUCAUCAUAUUCUGUUUUUAUUAUUUCCCUCUUUUGUUCUUUUCUUCUGUAGUCAACAUUUUUUUUUCUCCAAUGGAAAAUUUAAGACUGGUAGGAAAGAAGGCAAAGGUAGAGGAAAAGACUGUGACCCAACCUGACUACUGAUUUUAUCUGACCUGAUUUCAAACUGCUCUCUGAGUUUAUUUUGUGAUGGAGCAAAUAGUUCAUAUUCAUAUGACCAAGAAUAGAAGGUAAACUAUAUCUUCUACGAGACUGGGGCUAGGUGAAAUACGUCAGUUUAUUUUACAUUAGAAAUGAUGAAGGAUUAAAUAAGUAUUCGAAUCAUGAAAUAUUUGAACAGUUUUUAGUAAUAAAAUCUACCUCCCCCCCACCCUGGGGCGCUUGGCUGGUUCAGUCAGAGGAGGAUGCAACUCUUGAUCUUGGGGUUGUGAGUUUGAGCCCCACGUUGGGUGUAGGGAUUACUUAAAAAUAAAAUCUUUAAAAAAAUAAAACCCAUACCCAAGUUCACCUCUGAGGUCAGCCGCUAAGGGGGACAAGAGUGAAGUCAAUCUACCCUUUAUCAAUAAUGUUUUGAACCUAUUUGCAGUUGACAAAUACAGGCAGGCAGCAAAGUCCAUGAGCGGCUUUCACAGAGAAGGGCUGGGGGAAGCCAGAUGACUCACUGUUUGUUUGAUUUAGCAGUUGGAAUAAAUACCCUCGCUAGUUUGUUUUGUUCUCACUCAAUUCCCAACUUCCCAUUUCCUUUUCUAAUGAAAAAUCAAGUCUGAAACAUUGCUCAUCAAACUGCCUUCAUGUGUCAAAAUUUCAUAACAUAGGCCUGACCGAUGAAGUCCCUUGAAUGCUGGCUAUUUGCUGAGUUACCUCUGGGAAUCAGUGGGGAGAAGAGCGAAAAAUGCACAUGAAUAUUCAUGGACAUAACAGACCCUUUCUUUUCAGUGUGCUCUAAAACCAGAGGGAGGCUCUAACAGUGACGCUUCGAUUUUCCUCCUGUCUCUUUUCAGAGUUCUUUUCAGAAAUUCUCUCCAAGGAAGGGUUUUCAGGGAUCCAGAUGAAAAGCAGGAUAUAAACACAAGGUGUCCAGCUCAUCUCUGAUCUGUGCCUCAGGGAGAAGGAGGCUUAUUCUGAAGGCUUCGCCGUACAAAGAAGAGGAGCCUUCUAACCCGACAUACCCUGCCUGCAUAGCUGCCUGUAGGGUGAUGGCUGCACUUUUAAAUAGAGUAUCUGGGCUCUCAGCUGCUUGUAGCCUUGGCCAGGUGCACAGAAGGUGCCAUCUGUCUCUGCCCAAUAGCUCUGACCUCUAUAACUUUGUCAGAAGGCUCAUAGGUCUUUCUAGAUGUUUCCCCAGAGCUCUCAUUCCAGGCACUGAAGAUAGAUAUCUGGAAGGAAUCUUUUCAAUGCCUCCAUGGCCAAAGGGCAAUAUAGUAGCUGUGACAAAGCCAUUACUCAUAUUUCACCUCAUGCAGAAUGGAGGGAGCCUCUUUCCAGCUCGAAGGGCUGCCAUCUUGGGCAGGAAGAGGGCAGCCAGUAGGAUGCUUCUCCAUGAGGUCCACCUGGCUUUCCUCCCUGGGGUGCAGAGGACCAAUCACAGCCACCAAGGCACAGAGCACCCCCAAGAAGCUGUUGAUGUGGAACACACCUGCCCCUCAGGGCAGACUUAAAGAGUGCAAUGAUGGGGUCAGGGCCCAAGGGUGAAGCUGACUAUACUGCAAUUUUCUGUUCCCACUGGGCUGGAAUGCUUCCCAUUUCCAAGGGGGGAGCCAUAAGGGCUGAGGAAGGAUUUUCUCUCCGUCAUAUGCAGGAGGCUGCAUGUCUUAUGCACUUCUUUCCUGAAGUUAAAAAAAAAAAAAGUGUGUGUGUAUACACCAUACAUGCAGAUAUACACAUAUAUAUUGAAAUAUAUAGUAUAUAUUGGACACUGACCAUAGAUGUUACCUAUAUAUUUUUUAAAGAUUUUAUUUAUUUAUUCAUGAGAGACACACAGAGAGGGAGAGGCAGAGACAAAGGCAGAGGGAGAAGCAGGCUCCAUCCAGGGAGCCCAACGUGGGACUCGAUCCCGGGACUCCAGGAUCAUACCCUGGGCUGCAGGCGGUGCUAAACCACUGCACCACCAGGGCUGCCCGAUGUUACCUAUAUUAAACAGAUUAUGCAUUGUACAAAUAUAUGUCUUAUACAGACAGGUGCGUAUGUGUGUGUAUUUGGAAGAUCUUGAUUUGCCUUCCUGUCCAUGGUCAGACAAGUAGUUAAUCUUCCUUUCUUCAAUAGACAAUGGGGGGGUGGCACCUGAGUGGCUCAGUUGGUUGAGUGUCUGCCUUCAGCUCAGGUCAUGAUCCCAGGGUCCUGGGAUGGAGCCCUGAGUCCCUGCUCCUUGGGGGAGCCUGCUUCUCUCUCUCCCUCUGCAUGCCACUCCCCUGCUUGUGCUCUCUCUGUCAAAUAAUUAAAAAAAAAAAAAAGACAAUAGAGUACUCAAAUCAAACAGGAUGAUGUAUCAAGAUCCAGCUCAGCCUUUCUCAACUGUAAUUCUGUUGGGAGAAUUUUCCCUACUAUCCUAAGAACUCCGCUCUAUGCAGAUCUGGUGGUGCUAGUUAUGGCUCAUCUUGUCUCUAAGCAUCCAGAACGGUAUGAGCUGUGUGCCAUUCUGAGUACCACCCCAUUCCUGUCCUUUACCAGAAGUCUGGACCCUGGAGAGUGAUGAGGUGCUUUUUCCUCGCUUAGAGGGUACACGUAGACAGCACGGUGGGAAAGAGGCAAAAGAAUAUGUCCCCACUGCAUCGCUGAAGCUGUCUUGACAGUUGCUUUCCUUCUCCACCCCCAGGGCUGCGGGAAGACUUGCCACUCAGACAGUUAGGCACCAGAAUGGAGGUGCAUCUGUAACAUGUGAAGGUGCAUUUUGGAAGCAUUCCAAUCGGGCUAAGAGUAAAGUGUGUCAGAUUCAUUGGCUCGCCUAGGGAGAAAACCAUCCAUUUAUACGGUAACAUAAAACAUAUUUCACUUGGUAACAGGAGCAAAUGCUGCAUAUGCAGUCAAA